Molecule: long non-coding RNA, 333 nt
Organism: Anneissia japonica
Lineage: Eukaryota; Metazoa; Echinodermata; Crinoidea; Comatulida; Comatulidae
Exons: 3
Source: RefSeq, a predicted model, not a curated record
UGUGGAAUACUUGAUGUACAGGUGGAUGCAAUAAUCAGGAAAAUAGACAAAUAUUCAGUACAAAGGCAGCAUCAGGGGUACUGGCAAAUGACCUCAUCUCCAUUUUAGAAUCAAAAAAGGAAUUGAAGUUCUCGGCCGAGCCAAUUAAGGACAAUAUUUACAAGUGGCAUGCAAAACUCUUCAAGUUUAGCGAAGACAGUGACAUUGCUGCAGAUCUGAAUGAAAUCAAUGCUAGGUUUGGUUACAAUUAUGUUGAGCUACAAUUGGAAUUUACCAUUGACCUUUACCCUUUCUACCCGCCGUUAGUCAAGGUCAUCAGGCCAAAACUACAGG